Molecule: ribosomal RNA, 327 nt
Filed under: uncultured eukaryote
Lineage: Eukaryota
Description: partial 18S ribosomal RNA
Rfam family: Eukaryotic small subunit ribosomal RNA
Source: RNAcentral
CCCUUAGAUGUUCUGGGCCGCACGCGCGCUACACUGACGAAUGCAACGAGCUUAUAACCUUGGCCGAAAGGUCUGGGUAAUCUCCAAAUUUCGUCGUGAUGGGGAUAGAUUAUUGCAAUUAUUAAUCUUCAACGAGGAAUGCCUAGUAAGCGCAAGUCAUCAGCUUGCGUUGAUUACGUCCCUGCCCUUUGUACACACCGCCCGUCGCUCCUACCGAUUGAAUGGUCCGGUGAAGCGUUCGUACCGUGGCCUUUGGACGGUUCGCCGUCUGUUGGCUGCGGGAAGUUCGUUAAACCUUAUCAUUUAGAGGAAGGAGAANUCGUANCA